GGGUUGUGAGGUUAAGCGACUAAGCGUACACGGUGGAUGCCCUGGCAGUCAGAGGCGAUGAAGGGCGUGCUAAUCUGCGAUAAGCGCCGGUAAGGUGAUAUGAACCGUUAUAACCGGCGAUACCCGAAUGGGGAAACCCAGUGUGACUCGUCACACUAUCAUUAACUGAAUCCAUAGGUUAAUGAGGCGAACCGGGGGAACUGAAACAUCUAAGUACCCCGAGGAAAAGAAAUCAACCGAGAUUCCCCCAGUAGCGGCGAGCGAACGGGGAGGAGCCCAGAGCCUGAAUCAGCAUGUGUGUUAGUGGAAGCGUCUGGAAAGGCGCGCGAUACAGGGUGACAGCCCCGUACACAAAAGCGCAUGUGCUGUGAGCUCGAUGAGUAGGGCGGGACACGUGGUAUCCUGUCUGAAUAUGGGGGGACCAUCCUCCAAGGCUAAAUACUCCUGACUGACCGAUAGUGAACCAGUACCGUGAGGGAAAGGCGAAAAGAACCCCGGCGAGGGGAGUGAAAAAGAACCUGAAACCGUGUACGUACAAGCAGUGGGAGCCCCACCACUAAGCCAGUGGUGAACUCCACAUACGCAUCCUUUGCUGAGGAUACGGUUAACGGAGCGAAAGCGACGUUCAACCGCAAAAGAAGCAGAGGGGGCUUAGUGGUGGGGUGACUGCGUACCUUUUGUAUAAUGGGUCAGCGACUUAUAUUCUGUAGCAAGGUUAACCGUAUAGGGGAGCCGGAGGGAAACCGAGUCUUAACCGGGCGUUAAGUUGCAGGGUAUAGACCCGAAACCCGGUGAUCUAGCCAUGGGCAGGUUGAAGGUUGGGUAACACUAACUGGAGGACCGAACCGACUAAUGUUGAAAAAUUAGCGGAUGACCUGUGGCUGGGGGUGAAAGGCCAAUCAAACCGGGAGAUAGCUGGUUCUCCCCGAAAGCUAUUUAGGUAGCGCCUCGUGAAUUCAUCUCCGGGGGUAGAGCACUGUUUCGGCUAGGGGGCCAUCCCGGCUUACCAACCCGAUGCAAACUGCGAAUACCGGAGAAUGUUAUCACGGGAGACACACGGCGGGUGCUAACGUCCGUCGUGAAGAGGGAAACAACCCAGACCGCCAGCUAAGGUCCCAAAGUCAUGGUUAAGUGGGAAACGAUGUGGGAAGGCCCAGACAGCCAGGAUGUUGGCUUAGAAGCAGCCAUCAUUUAAAGAAAGCGUAAUAGCUCACUGGUCGAGUCGGCCUGCGCGGAAGAUGUAACGGGGCUAAACCAUGCACCGAAGCUGCGGCAGCGACACUAUGUGUUGUUGGGUAGGGGAGCGUUCUGUAAGCCUGUGAAGGUGUGUCGUGAGGCAUGCUGGAGGUAUCAGAAGUGCGAAUGCUGACAUAAGUAACGAUAAAGCGGGUGAAAAGCCCGCUCGCCGGAAGACCAAGGGUUCCUGUCCAACGUUAAUCGGGGCAGGGUGAGUCGACCCCUAAGGCGAGGCCGAAAGGCGUAGUCGAUGGGAAACGGGUUAAUAUUCCCGUACUUGGUGUUACUGCGAAGGGGGGACGGAGAAGGCUAUGUUGGCCGGGCGACGGUUGUCCCGGUUUAAGCGUGUAGGUGUGUGUUCCAGGUAAAUCCGGUUCACUUUAACACUGAGGCGUGACGACGAGGCACUACGGUGCUGAAGCAACAAAUGCCCUGCUUCCAGGAAAAGCCUCUAAGCAUCAGGUAACAUCAAAUCGUACCCCAAACCGACACAGGUGGUCAGGUAGAGAAUACCAAGGCGCUUGAGAGAACUCGGGUGAAGGAACUAGGCAAAAUGGUGCCGUAACUUCGGGAGAAGGCACGCUGACACGUAGGUGAAGUGAUUUACUCAUGGAGCUGAAGUCAGUCGAAGAUACCAGCUGGCUGCAACUGUUUAUUAAAAACACAGCACUGUGCAAACACGAAAGUGGACGUAUACGGUGUGACGCCUGCCCGGUGCCGGAAGGUUAAUUGAUGGGGUCAGCGCAAGCGAAGCUCCUGAUCGAAGCCCCGGUAAACGGCGGCCGUAACUAUAACGGUCCUAAGGUAGCGAAAUUCCUUGUCGGGUAAGUUCCGACCUGCACGAAUGGCGUAAUGAUGGCCAGGCUGUCUCCACCCGAGACUCAGUGAAAUUGAACUCGCUGUGAAGAUGCAGUGUACCCGCGGCAAGACGGAAAGACCCCGUGAACCUUUACUAUAGCUUGACACUGAACAUUGAGCCUUGAUGUGUAGGAUAGGUGGGAGGCUUUGAAGUGUGGACGCCAGUCUGCAUGGAGCCGGCCUUGAAAUACCACCCUUUAAUGUUUGAUGUUCUAACGUGGACCCGUGAUCCGGGUUGCGGACAGUGUCUGGUGGGUAGUUUGACUGGGGCGGUCUCCUCCUAAAGAGUAACGGAGGAGCACGAAGGUUGGCUAAUCCUGGUCGGACAUCAGGAGGUUAGUGCAAUGGCAUAAGCCAGCUUGACUGCGAGCGUGACGGCGCGAGCAGGUGCGAAAGCAGGUCAUAGUGAUCCGGUGGUUCUGAAUGGAAGGGCCAUCGCUCAACGGAUAAAAGGUACUCCGGGGAUAACAGGCUGAUACCGCCCAAGAGUUCAUAUCGACGGCGGUGUUUGGCACCUCGAUGUCGGCUCAUCACAUCCUGGGGCUGAAGUAGGUCCCAAGGGUAUGGCUGUUCGCCAUUUAAAGUGGUACGCGAGCUGGGUUUAGAACGUCGUGAGACAGUUCGGUCCCUAUCUGCCGUGGGCGCUGGAGAACUGAGGGGGGCUGCUCCUAGUACGAGAGGACCGGAGUGGACGCAUCACUGGUGUUCGGGUUGUCAUGCCAAUGGCACUGCCCGGUAGCUAAAUGCGGAAGAGAUAAGUGCUGAAAGCAUCUAAGCACGAAACUUGCCCCGAGAUGAGUUCUCCCUGAGACUUUAAGUCUCCUGAAGGAACGUUGAAGACGACGACGUUGAUAGGCCGGGUGUGUAAGCGCAGCGAUGCGUUGAGCUAACCGGUACUAAUGAACCGUGAGGCUUAACCUUACAACGCCGAAG
RNAcentral lists this ribosomal RNA (3027 nucleotides) under Salmonella enterica subsp. enterica serovar Gaminara str. SA20063285. RNAcentral describes it as "bacterial LSU rRNA". It matches the Rfam family "Bacterial large subunit ribosomal RNA". The record is from RNAcentral. Lineage: Bacteria; Pseudomonadati; Pseudomonadota; Gammaproteobacteria; Enterobacterales; Enterobacteriaceae.